Non-coding RNA from Ovis aries (sheep), 73 nucleotides. Lineage: Eukaryota; Metazoa; Chordata; Mammalia; Artiodactyla; Bovidae. The record is from Rfam.
UCCCUGGUGGCUCAGAGGUUAAAGCCUCUGCCUGCAGUGUGGGAGACUCAGGUUCAAUCCCUGGGUCGGGGAG